RNAcentral lists this ribosomal RNA (497 nucleotides) under uncultured bacterium. RNAcentral's name for it is "partial 16S ribosomal RNA". It matches the Rfam family "Bacterial small subunit ribosomal RNA", at positions 28 to 507 of the family's 1533-position model. The record is from RNAcentral.
GAUGAACGCUGGCGGCGUGCCUAAUACAUGCAAGUCGAGCGAACAGACGAGGAGCUUGCUCCUCUGACGUUAGCGGCGGACGGGUGAGUAACACGUGGAUAACCUACCUAUAAGACUGGGAUAACUUCGGGAAACCGGAGCUAAUACCGGAUAAUAUAUUGAACCGCAUGGUUCAAUAGUGAAAGACGGUUUUGCUGUCACUUAUAGAUGGAUCCGCGCCGCAUUAGCUAGUUGGUACGGUAACGGCUUACCAAGGCAACGAUGCGUAGCCGACCUGAGAGGGUGAUAGGCCACACUGGAACUGAGACACGGUCCAGACUCCUACGGGAGGCAGCAGUAGGGAAUCUUCCGCAAUGGGCGAAAGCUUGACGGAGCAACGCCGCGUGAGUGAUGAAGGUCUUCGGAGCGUAAAAAUCUGUUAUUAGGGAAGAACAAAUGUGUAAGUAACUAUGCACGUCUUGAUGGUACCUAAUCAGAAAGCCACGGCUAACUACGUG